UUAAAUUGAAGAGUUUGAUCAUGGCUCAGAUUGAACGCUGGCGGCAGGCCUAACACAUGCAAGUCGAACGGUAACAGAAAGCAGCUUGCUGCUUUGCUGACGAGU
This 105-nucleotide ribosomal RNA is filed under the name Escherichia coli. Its description in RNAcentral is "partial 16S ribosomal RNA". It matches the Rfam family "Bacterial small subunit ribosomal RNA", at positions 1 to 103 of the family's 1533-position model. Lineage: Bacteria; Pseudomonadati; Pseudomonadota; Gammaproteobacteria; Enterobacterales; Enterobacteriaceae. The record is from RNAcentral.